CCUACGGGGGGCAGCAGUGAGGAAUAUUGGUCAAUGGGCGUAAGCCUGAACCAGCCAAGUCGCGUGCGGGAUGAAGGUUCUAUGGAUCGUAAACCUCUUUUAUAAGGGAAUAAAGUGCGGGACGUGUCCCGUUUUGUAUGUACCUUAUGAAUAAGGAUCGGCUAAUUCCGUGUCAGCAGCCGCGGUAAUACGGAGGUGCCGAGCGUUAUCCGGAUUUAGUGGGUUUAAAGGGGGCGUAGGCGGCCUUUUAAGUUAGCGGUGAAAGUCUGUGGCUCAACCAUGGGAUUGCGGUUGAAACUGGGAGGCUUGAGUGUGUGUGAGGCAGGCGGAAUGCGUGGUGUAGCGGUGAAAUGCUUAGAUAUCACGCAGAACCCCGAUUGCGAAGGCAGCCUGCCAAGCCAUGACUGACGCUGAUGCACGAAAGCGUGGGGAUCGAACAGGAUUAGAUACCCUUGUAGUC
RNAcentral lists this ribosomal RNA (460 nucleotides) under uncultured bacterium. RNAcentral describes it as "partial 16S ribosomal RNA". It matches the Rfam family "Bacterial small subunit ribosomal RNA", at positions 338 to 795 of the family's 1533-position model. The record is from RNAcentral.